AGCAGCCGCGGUAAUUCCAGCUCCAAUAGCGUAUAUUAAAGUUGUUGCAGUUAAAAAGCUCGUAGUUGAAUUUCGGGAUCAGUUCGCUGGUCGUGCCUCUGGUACGUACUGGUGUUACUGGUUCCUCCCUUCUGACGAACUGUCAUGUCAUUAAUUUGGUGUGGCGGGGAAUCAGGACUGUUACUUUGAAAAAAUUAGAGUGUUUAAAGCAGGCUCGCGCUUGAAUACAUUAGCAUGGAAUAAUGAAAUAGGACGUUCGAUCCUAUUUUGUUGGUUUCUAGGAUUGACGUAAUGAUUAAUAGGGAUAGUUGGGGGCAUUAGUAUUCAAUUGUCAGAGGUGAAAUUCUUAGGAUUUAUUGAAGACUAACUACUGCGAAAGCAUUUGCCAAGGAUGUUUUCAUUAAUCAAGAACGAAAGUUAGGGGAUCGAAGACGAUCAGAUACCGUCGUAGUCUUAACCAUAAACUAUGCCGACUAGGGAUCGGAUGAUGUUAAUUUUUUAAUGUACUCAUUCGGCUACCG
This 521-nucleotide ribosomal RNA is filed under the name uncultured fungus. Its description in RNAcentral is "SSU rRNA". It matches the Rfam family "Eukaryotic small subunit ribosomal RNA", at positions 569 to 1089 of the family's 1831-position model. The record is from RNAcentral. Lineage: Eukaryota; Fungi.